RNAcentral lists this ribosomal RNA (253 nucleotides) under uncultured bacterium. RNAcentral's name for it is "partial 16S ribosomal RNA". It matches the Rfam family "Bacterial small subunit ribosomal RNA", at positions 524 to 776 of the family's 1533-position model. The record is from RNAcentral.
UACGAGGGGGGCAAAUGUUGUUCGGAAUCACUGGGCGGAAAGGGAGCGUAGGCGGGUUUCUAAGUCAGGUGUUUAAUCCCGGGGCCCAACCCCGGACAGGCACUUGAAACUGGGAAUCUUGAAUAGUGGAGAGGUCAGUGGAAUUGGGGGUGUAGCGGUGGAAUGCGUAGAGAUCCCCAAGAACACCAGUUGCGAAGGCGGCUGACUGGACACAUAUUGACGCUGAGGCUCGAAAGCAUGGGGAGCAAACAGG